GUGGGGAAUAUUGGACAAUGGGCGAAAGUCUGAUCCAGCCAUGCCGCGUGUGUGAAGAAGGUCUUCGGAUUGUAAAGCACUUUAAGUUGGGAGGAAGGGCAGUAAGUUAAUACCUUGCUGUUUUGACGUUACCGACAGAAUAAGCACCGGCUAACUUCGUGCCAGCAGCCGCGGUAAUACGAAGGGUGCAAGCGUUAAUCGGAAUUACUGGGCGUAAAGCGCGCGUAGGUGGUUUUGUAAGUUGGAGGUGAAAUCCCCGGGCUCAACCUGGGAACUGCCUACAAAACUGCAUGACUAGAGUACGGUAGAGGGUAGUGGAAUUUCCUGUGUAGCGGUGAAAUGCGUAGAUAUAGGAAGGAACACCAGUGGCGAAGGCGACUACCUGGACUGAUACUGACACUGAGGUGCGAAAGCGUGGGGAGCAAACAGGAUUAGAUACCCCGGUAGUCC
RNAcentral lists this ribosomal RNA (450 nucleotides) under uncultured bacterium. RNAcentral describes it as "bacterial SSU rRNA". It matches the Rfam family "Bacterial small subunit ribosomal RNA", at positions 354 to 796 of the family's 1533-position model. The record is from RNAcentral.